GACGAACGCUGGCGGCGUGCUUAACACAUGCAAGUCGAACGAAGUGGCGAACGGGUGAGUAAUACGUGAGUAACCUGCCCUCCUUUUUGGGAUAAGCCUUGGAAACGGGGUCUCAUACCGAAUAAAGGGGUGUGGGCUCGCGGCCUAUCAGCUUGUUGGUUGGGUGAUGGCCUACCGAGGCGGUUACGGGUAGCCGGCCUGAGAGGGUGACCGGCAACCUUGGGGCUGAGAUACGGCCGGGACUCCUACGGAAGGCAGCAGUGGGGAAUAUUGAACAAUGGAGGGAACUAUGAUGCAGCGAGGCCGCGUGACCGAAGAAGGCUUUAGAGUCGUAAAGUUCUUUCGGUACCAUAAGAAAAAGCCCCGGCUAACUACGUGCCAGCAGCCGCGGUAAUAC
RNAcentral lists this ribosomal RNA (397 nucleotides) under uncultured bacterium. RNAcentral describes it as "partial 16S ribosomal RNA". It matches the Rfam family "Bacterial small subunit ribosomal RNA", at positions 28 to 526 of the family's 1533-position model. The record is from RNAcentral.